AGCAUCGACUGGUGUUUGCUACCCGCUGGGUGGAGCGAUGCUUGUGCCAGGAGGUCUGCUGGGCCCUGCAGGAGCAGCAAGGCAGGGCUGGUGUCACCUCAUUUCUGUCCUGGGGCUGCGAAGAAGUUUCCAGGAGGCCCCGGCUGGAGUGGUGCUGCACAGCUCGGCUGUCCUGGGCACGGCACUGCACACACAGCCUGCAGGAGCAGCUCUGGGGCUGGGGCACAGCUCCCCGAGGGAGCAGGCUCCUUGGCACGGGUGAGGUCCGUGUUUGCAGAGGAUGGCGAGCGUACCUGGCACGCUCCAGGUUCGGCUUCCCGGAGUGUGCCCGGCCCCAGCCGCCUCCUCUCGACCCCCGUGCGCGCCCCCGGCAGCCGGGGGGGGCUGAGGAAGGCUGCGAGCGGACACCCCCCGUGCACGAGGGCCCGGGGGCGAGCGGCGGGGCGCGGGGCGCGGGGGCGGGCAGUGNNNNNNNNNNGGAGGAGGAGGAGGAGGAGGAGCGGCUGCGAGCUCGGCUCUGGGCAUCUCAACCUGGCUGGCAGCGCGGCGGCAGGGAGCGCGGCACGCCGGGGGCACCGCACCGUCCGCAAUUGCGCCGCACCCCGGGGCCAUAGGUGCUCUUUAUGGCAUGUGGCUGGUAACUUUUUUCCUGCUCUACUCUUUGCCGAAAGGUACGUGGCGCCCGGCAGCGGGGACGCGGCGGGCUCCCCCCGGUGCCCUGCACCCCCCCGGUGCCCAGCACCCCCUCCGUGCGCCCCCACGGGGCUCCGGGGCCACGGGCGCGGCGUCCCCCGCGGAGCGCUCCGGGGGUCCCGGCGGGGGGCUCGGGGUGCCGCCCGCCCCCCGGGGGUCCCAGGGGCUCUGGGAGCCGAGCCCGAGCCCCCAGCGGUGCCGGAGCCCCCCGGGGUGCGGGCUGCCCGCUGCCCCGACGGGACCUGCCGGGGCUGGCGGCGGUACUUUGGAGAGCUUUGUUCUGGUGUCCCCGCUUUUCCGGGACUACUUAGAGCGAUAUCCUAA
This 1017-nucleotide long non-coding RNA is filed under the name Anas zonorhyncha (Eastern spot-billed duck). Its description in RNAcentral is "lncRNA (ENSAZOG00000002896.1)". The record is from RNAcentral. Lineage: Eukaryota; Metazoa; Chordata; Aves; Anseriformes; Anatidae.